UACGAAGGGUGCAAGCGUUACUCGGAAUUACUGGGCGUAAAGCGUGCGUAGGUGGUGAGUUAAGUCUGUCGUGAAAGCCCCCGGCUCAACCUGGGAAUGGCGAUGGAAACUGGCUCGCUAGAGUGCGGUAGAGGAGAGUGGAAUUCCCGGUGUAGCAGUGAAAUGCGUAGAGAUCGGGAGGAACAUCAGUUGCGAAGGCGGCUCUCUGGACCAGCACUGACACUGAGGCACGAAAGCGUGGGGAGCAAACAGG
This 253-nucleotide ribosomal RNA is filed under the name uncultured bacterium. RNAcentral describes it as "partial 16S ribosomal RNA". It matches the Rfam family "Bacterial small subunit ribosomal RNA", at positions 524 to 776 of the family's 1533-position model. The record is from RNAcentral.